GAAGAUUAGUUUCACUGUGCUCUCUGAUAUUUUGUGGUGAGGUUUCUGUAAAUAGCGAAAUACAGUUUUUGGGUGAGGUCAACGAUAGUCGUGACUGAGUUUUGAAGCAACCAGGAAUAUCUGGAGGAGAAUCAUCUGCUGCUGUGAAGAUGAUGUUUGUUAAAGAAGAGAGUGAGGAGAACAUGAGAGAACCAGAAACAUGGAGAAUAAAACACGAGCAGUCUGAACCCAGGAGAAUAAAACAGGAGGAACAUGAAGAAAGGGAUCAAAGAACAAAUCCUGAUUGCUGGAGCUCUCAAUUAGGGCUGCACAACUAACCAAACUCAAUUAAUCGUGAAUGUCAUGCACAUUUUGCCAGUAAAGCUCGUUCUGUGAUCAGCAGUAAAUAUCCAUCCAUUGUUUUCAUCUGUACACAAAUUGAAUUUUCAUAGUUUUAAUGAUUUAAUUUUAGGCCUAAAAGAAGAAAGUCUGAGUGAUGUGGAGGAGAAGGAUCAUGAUGCCAAUGGAGAAAAAUCAGCGAUUUGCAGAAAUUUCCAAAAGCCUUUUAGCUGCUCUCAGUGUGGAAAAGCUUUCACGUGUAACAAAAACCUUAAAGAUCACAUGUUAAUUCACGCUGGGAUAAAGCCUUUCAGCUGCUCUCAGUGUGGAAAGAGUUUCACGCAGAAAGUACAUCUUGAGAAUCAUUUAGUAACUCACUCUUCAGAAAAACCUUUCAGCUGCUCUCAGUGCGGAAACACUUUCACUCGUAAAGAAAGCCUUCGGAAGCACAUGUUAAUUCACGCUGGGAAAAAGCCUUUCGGCUGCCCUGAUUGUGGAAAGAGUUUCACGCAGAAAGGCAAUCUUGAGAAUCAUUUGGUAACUCACUCUUCAGAAAAGCCCUUCAGCUGCUCUCAGUGCAGGAAGAGUUUCAUGAGCAAAGGAUACCUCAAGACUCACAUGUUUCUGCACUCUGAAAUAAAGCCCUUCUCUUGCGAUCAGUGUGGAAAGAGUUUCAUAUGUAAAGGAAACCUGAAGAAUCAUAUGUUAAUUCACGCUGGGAAAAGGCCUUUCACCUGCUCUAGGUUGGGAAAGACUUUUAUACACAAAGGAAAACUUAAGAAACAUUUGGUAACUCACUCUUCGUGAAAAAGACUUUCACUAGCGCUCAGUUUGGACACCUUGAGACUCUCAGGUUAAAGGUUACAUUGGAUGCCAGUUUUCUACAAGUUGAUGUGAUUCUUUAGGGUCUUAAUAAAAAGUCUAGAGCACA
RNA transcript from Puntigrus tetrazona (Sumatra barb), 1249 nucleotides. It is a transcript of the gene named gastrula zinc finger protein XlCGF8.2DB-like, with no coding region annotated. The transcript is spliced from 2 exons. The record is from RefSeq and is a predicted model, not a curated record. NCBI's taxonomy places the organism in Eukaryota, Metazoa, Chordata, Actinopteri, Cypriniformes, Cyprinidae.